AUUCCAGCUCCAAUAGCGUAUAUUAAAGUUGUUGCGGUUAAAAAGCUCGUAGUUGGAUUUCUGCUGAGGAUGACCGGUCCGCCCUGUGGGUGUGCAUCUGGCUCAGCCUUGGCAUCUUCCUGAAGAACGUAGCUGCACUUGACUGUGUGGUGCGGUAUUUAGGACAUUUACUUUGAGGAAAUUAGAGUGUUUCAAGCAAGCGCACGCUUUGAAUACAUUAGCAUGGAAUAAUAAGAUAGGACCUCGGUUCUAUUUUGUUGGUUUCUAGAGCUGAGGUAAUGAUUGAUAGGGAUAGUUGGGGGCAUUCGUAUUUAAACGACAGAGGUGAAAUUCUUGGACCGUUUGAAGACAAACUACUGCGAAAGCAUUUGCCAAGAAUGUUUUCAUUG
This 389-nucleotide ribosomal RNA is filed under the name Biecheleria sp. RNAcentral's name for it is "partial small subunit ribosomal RNA". It matches the Rfam family "Eukaryotic small subunit ribosomal RNA", at positions 582 to 975 of the family's 1831-position model. The record is from RNAcentral. Lineage: Eukaryota; Dinophyceae; Suessiales; Biecheleriaceae.